RNAcentral lists this transfer RNA (82 nucleotides) under Fomitopsis schrenkii. RNAcentral describes it as "tRNA-Ile (AAT) (tRNA-Ile-AAT-5-1)". Lineage: Eukaryota; Fungi; Basidiomycota; Agaricomycetes; Polyporales; Fomitopsidaceae. The record is from RNAcentral.
GGCCCGCCACGCGCUCCGCUGAACGGAAGAAGGCGUGGUGCUAAUAACGCCAAGGUCGUCGGUUCGAUCCCGGCGUUGGCCA